RNAcentral lists this ribosomal RNA (402 nucleotides) under Phaeophyceae sp. RNAcentral's name for it is "partial small subunit ribosomal RNA". It matches the Rfam family "Eukaryotic small subunit ribosomal RNA", at positions 582 to 975 of the family's 1831-position model. The record is from RNAcentral. Lineage: Eukaryota; Phaeophyceae.
AUUCCAGCUCCAAUAGCGUAUAUUAAAGUUGCUGCAGUUAAAAAGCUCGUAGUUGGAUUUGUGGCGCGGCCGUCCGGCGGGGCUCCUUCAUUGGGGCCGUUUGUCUGGUUUUUCGGCCGCUCCAUUCUCGGGUAGUGUGUCGCUGGCAUUAGGUUGUCGGCUUCUUCACGCCCGUCGUUUACUGUGAAAAAAUUAGAGUGUUCAAAGCAGGCUUAGGCCAUUGGAUACAUUAGCAUGGAAUAAUGAGAUAGGGCCACGACGGUCUAUUUUGUUGGUUUGCACGUUGUGGUAAUGAUUAACAGGAACGGUUGGGGGUAUUCGUAUUCAAUUGUCAGAGGUGAAAUUCUUGGAUUUAUGGAAGACGAACUACUGCGAAAGCAUUUACCAAGGAUGUUUUCAUUG